CCCAGCUAUGGAGACAUGGUGCCCAGCACCAUUGCUGGCAAGAUUUUUGGAUCCAUCUGCUCCCUCAGUGGUGUCCUGGUCAUUGCACUGCCUGUGCCAGUCAUCGUGUCCAAC
Canis lupus familiaris (dog) is the source of this 114-nucleotide non-coding RNA. The record is from Rfam. Lineage: Eukaryota; Metazoa; Chordata; Mammalia; Carnivora; Canidae.